This 76-nucleotide transfer RNA is filed under the name Yarrowia sp. B02. RNAcentral describes it as "tRNA-Arg". It matches the Rfam family "tRNA". From Rfam's summary of the family: Transfer RNA (tRNA) molecules are approximately 80 nucleotides in length. Lineage: Eukaryota; Fungi; Ascomycota; Dipodascomycetes; Dipodascales. RNAcentral also lists the same sequence under 2 other names. The record is from RNAcentral.
GAGGACGUGGCGUAAUGGUAGCGCAUUGGAUUUCGGUUUCCUCCAAAGGCUGCGGGUUCGAGUCCUGUCGUCCUCU